Molecule: RNA transcript, 1812 nt
Organism: Prunus dulcis (almond)
Lineage: Eukaryota; Viridiplantae; Streptophyta; Magnoliopsida; Rosales; Rosaceae
Gene name: DNA-damage-repair/toleration protein DRT111, chloroplastic
Exons: 3
Source: RefSeq, a predicted model, not a curated record
CUUCACUGGUUCUAUGCUGAAGACGGGAAGCAGAGUCAAUAGCUGCACAACCUGCACCCGCCAUUCAUUGUUGGCACGCGCUUCUUUCAGUUGUUCGCUCCACAAUUCGAAUCAAUCUCUAAUCAAGCUAACAAUCCAAACCCUAAAACCCUAAUCCCACUGGUUAACACCAAAACCCCUUUCACAUUAUAUACCAAUUCCCUAUCAGAUCCCCAAAUUCACGUAAAUUCUUAAGCUUUCAAUUCUCUCUAGGGUUUUCAGAGCUCUGUAACUGCAAAAAAGGAAGUGGGUACUCGUCAAAAUGCUGGGUGGGUUGUACGGAGACCUCCCUCCACCGUCUUCGGCGGAGGAAGAGAAACCCAGCAACACCACGGUGUGGUCGAGCAGCACCAAAAUGGCGCCGCAGACUCUCCGAAAACCCGCAUCCGUUUUCGCUCCGCCGCAGACGAUUCUCAAGUCCCAAAACAAGCCCAAGCCUUCGAAUUUAGCCCAGCCCAAAAUUACAGCAUCACCGGUAAUUGCAACGUCGGCGAUACAAAAUGACAUGGUGCAACCUGCCCUGGUGGGGGUCACGUCGACGGUGCUAGAGGAGUAUGAUCCGGCGAGGCCCAAUGACUACGAGGAGUACAAGAGGGAGAGGAAGAAGAAGGCAAUGGAGGCUGAGAUGAGGCGAGAACUCGAUAGGAGGCGGCAAGAGGAGGAGGAGAAGGAGAGGAGAGAGAGGGAGGAGAGAGAAAGGGAAAGGGAGAGGGAUUUUGGAGAUUCAAGGUUGAAUAUUUCGGGUGAAGAAGCUUGGAGGAGGCGUGCGGCUAUGAGCGGCGGGGCAGUUCCAGCAAUGCCGGCAAUUCCAAGGUCGCCGUCUCCUCCUAAUAAUGGAGAUGGUUUUACCAUUGGGAAGUCGGAGAGUGGCGGGUUGGGGUUAGGGGCUGGCGGCCAAAUGACCGCAGCACAGAGAAUGAUGGCGAAGAUGGGGUGGAAGCAGGGGCAAGGGCUUGGGAAGCAGGAGCAGGGGAUUACUACUCCCUUGAUGGCCAAGAAAACGGAUAGGAGAGCCGGGGUGAUUGUGAAUGCCAGUGAAACAAAGCCGGAGAAGAAGGCGAAGAGUGUCAGCCUUAAUGGGCCACCCACCAGGGUUUUGCUGCUUAGAAACAUGGUGGGCCCUGGCGAGGUGGAUGAUGAGUUGGAAGAUGAGGUAGCAUCAGAGUGUGCAAAGUAUGGGACAGUGACCCGGGUGCUUAUAUUUGAGAUAACGGAGCCAAAUUUCCCGGUGGAUGAGGCAGUGAGAAUCUUUGUGCAGUUUGAGAGGUCUGAAGAAACGACUAAAGCAUUGGUCGACCUUGAUGGUCGAUACUUUGGAGGUAGGGUGGUUCGCGCGUCGUUCUAUGACGAGGAGAGGUUCGGCAACAACGAGCUUGCUCCAAUGCCAGGAGAAAUUCCCGGGUUCACUUGAAUCACGGGGCAUCAAAUGCAAGUUGAUUUUCCCACAUUUGUAGAGUUUACCGAGAAAGAUAAGGGAGAGAUGAGGUUUGGAUGAUUUCGCAUUGCCAUUCGAGUUGCUAGUAAUAUAGCAGGUAGUAGUGGGCAUUCAAACUUGGGAGUAGCUUUACUUAUUGUGGUCGGGUGGGUGAAGAUGAUGUAACUGCGACGGUAAACAACUGUAACAAACAUACAGUAGUUUCUAAGUCUUGUAAAAGGGUGGAACAAAAUCUGAUUGCACAAAAUGGGGUUUUUCACCGCAGCAUACAACUACAUAAACACACACCUCACAACCCCCCUCGCUUAAGUUUUCCAUUAUAUAUUCUAAUUCUGAUU